This is a long non-coding RNA of Coturnix japonica (Japanese quail), 4553 nucleotides long. RefSeq lists it as uncharacterized. NCBI's taxonomy places the organism in Eukaryota, Metazoa, Chordata, Aves, Galliformes, Phasianidae. The record is from RefSeq and is a predicted model, not a curated record.
UUUGCUGAGUCUUUUAUUUCUCGCUUCGGUUGUGUUGAAGUGAGAGCUGUGAGCUCUUAGGGUUGCUUCAACUCAGCCCGAGUCCCGUCCUUGGAGGUGUUCAAGACCAGAUACAGAGGAAACAAAUCCAGAUUCCCUCCCUUUGUUUCUCUUUGCGAGUGGAAAAGAAGACUUCAUAAAGCACACGAGGGCUCAUCUUCGCCGUCCAAAUGUUUAAAGGGGUGACUUAAUGGCUCAAAUAUUAUAUUCUAGAAAGACCCUGAGUUAAACAGCAGCGAAAUGACUGUGUCAAAGAGCAAAGUGACAGUGCUGUUACAGGCCCUCUGCCUCCCAGGCCACAGCUGCACCUAUUGGCUUCAUUGUCCCAUCCCUCCUACGCACAUGCAUGCCUGGCGUUGUUUUGGAAAUACAGCAGAAACUUGAUAAUUCAAACUGAUGACCGGGGGAGCCACUUGUGGAAUUAAUUUAUCGGGACCUCGAUAUUGUUCGCUAUACUUUGUCAUGUGAGGCUGUAAAUCCCUUCGAGUGAGGUGGGAUUUUAGAUUUACAAACUGUUCCUAAGUGAUUACACACAUACUGCGAAGGAAAAGACUGUCCAGUAGCCAAGUGAGGGCAGAACUCAGGACGCUGAACUCAUUAAGAUUCCAGAGCAACCGGAAUUACUAAUAUGGAAUACGCUACGGAGAAAAAUAAUUGUUUUAUUUGUUUAAAGUACCAUAUUGAUGUUAAAUAAGCAAUAUUCAUAUGUCAUUGUAUGUACAGUAGCCCAAGUGAACUUAGCAGCCUGUCUGAAGCAUCAGGCUAUUGCAGAAAGUCUGUGUGAGCCAUUACGGUAUUAAGAACAAAACAUAAACAAUACAGUGCCUCAAACUGGCAGCUUUUAGUACACUUUGGGUGUUUACCCUUCCAUAGUCUUGCUGACCCUUGGUCUUUGAUUUCAGAGCAACACAAACAAAACAAAAUCAAUUUCUUUAAUUUUGAUGAGCAGCAAAUACUGCGAGGAAUCAUUGCGUGAUCGUGAAGCAAAAAAGAAUUGCUGUUGUUGACAGGAUUUCACAACCGGAGGGUGAAUUUGGAAGCUCGGAGUUGCUUUGUGAAGUCUCACACCUUGUGGCCUGAGUAGAACUCUCCACAAUGAGUUCAGGAUGUAGGUUGUUCUGUUGCUAUCGACAGCACCGAAUACCAGAUGCCGCUAUGAUUGUUACAGAUACUUGCAAAAGGUGGUCCAAGAAAUAAGAACAUGUAAACAUCUGUAAUCAAAUGUUACCAUGAAGGAAAGUUCUGAGUUUGAUUUUUUGCUGUUUAUUGGAAUAAAAAAUCAUUCCCUCAAAUUUUCCUUUUUUUUCUUUAAGUGAAAUAUGGAAUUGAACUCAAUUGUUGCUUCUUAUAUUUUCAUGGAAGAAAAAUACUGGAGACUGAGUACUUUGUUACUGAUUUUGGUUUCUGGCUUAAGACGUGGGACCCCGGAGCUCUCUGCUCUGCCACAAAUAGCAUAUUUGGCUUUAGGGAAAAUUGCUCUUUGUUUCCCAUCUGUGUAACAGGAAUAAUAUUCAUGCGCUGUCACCGCAAAUAGUUGUGAAGGUAUACACUCAGAGAACUCUGAAAUGAUGUUGUUAUGGUUAUAUAUAAUAUCACAAGUAAUAAUUUGGGAUACUAGGUGCCAAUUAUUCUGUUGGCUAUUUGGUUUGACAGUAAAUGCCAGUGUUAGUAACUUCAUAAACUUCAGCGUUGUUAUUCUGGGUUUGCAUCAGAAAACAGAACGUGGCUUAGACAUGAAUUUCCUCUUUGAAAUAACUGAAGUGACAUCAGUGGAAUUAUACAGGAAUGAUUUUGGCACUGAUAUUGCUGCAGGACAUAGUGCUGAGUGCUUUGGCCUCAUACAGAGUGAGCUGUCUUCGCUGUGCAGGAGUUCAAAGCUUCUUUGGAGCUGCAAUAUCCUCCUCACCAUUUUAAGUUUUCCAGCGUCACAGCUACAAAGUGGUGUUACUGGAAGCAGCAGCAGGAUUUAAAAGCUCGCUUGUCUCACACCCAAUGCUGGUUACACAAACGACUUAAUCCCUCACCAACCUCUGGUGUAACAGAGGGCGAAAGCUUAGGAACUUCAAAGUUUGCAUUUCUUUUUCAAUGACAAACUGCAAUCAGAAAUCUGGAUCGUUCUACUUAUACAUAGUACUUUUUGUGGGUCCGGCUUCUCUCCAAAACACUCAUAGGACUUCUCCCCCAUUGUAGUACGUGAAUAACAGCCGCUGAACUCGACGCGAGGUUUUUGUAUCAUGUGGCUGAAAAGAAGAGCCCCUAUUUAUAGCAUUGAGACAUUGGCAGGUGCAAGACUAGGGAGAAACUUUAGUCUCACACAUCCCAAACGGUUGUUCGGGAGAGUUUUGUGCGUGGUUGAGGCUGCCGCGAGGUGGGCCACAAGAAUCAACAGCCGCGGCGGAGGCUGCUGUCUUGUUGAGAGCAAUCAGCUUCUGUCUCCUGGAGGGUGUGCGACGGAGAAGGGCCUGAUGGUGCUGAUUGCAGUCAUAUACUUAGCUAUGGCAGCUUUAGCUAUUAUUUAUAGAAGUGCUAAUUAUAUCAAUAGAAAUAGCAAUAUUAAUACUGUUAAGUGUCAGAAUCUACGCUUGACAGCAUGAACUAAACGCAGCUCCUGUGAAACGAAGCAGCCAGCUCGUCUCCCUUGUCAAACCACCAAGAUGCAUUUCAGGAAAGUACACACCCACCUUAAUUGCUUGGGGUCUCAACGUUUUUGCUCAUCUUGUUAUAUCACUAUCAUUUCAAGCUGGCAACGCUCAGGGCCGGCUGUUCUAAGGAAAUGCAGACCGUAUCCUCAGUCAGUCCAGAACACUCAAACUGUGACUGAAAUGUAGCAGUGGGUUCCAGUUUAAAGCUGUUGUUCUGCAAAGCUGGAAACUGAGAAGCCUUUAGAAGUUCAGAUGCUGACCCAAACUUGCUUGUUUUUUUCUUUGCGUCUGUGCUCCACCACUCCCUGUUUACAAACUAGCUGGUGAAAACUCACGUAGCUCUCAAUACCCACAGUUACGUGCAGACUACGUUAUAACCAGCCUUAAUUGGCAUCUUUUAAAGGGCAGAAAUCAUAUUACCAAAAAAAUAAACAAAACUAAAGGAAAACAAGAGCAUAUUGAGACUCAUUUUCUGGCUGCUUUUUUAACAUUUAAAAUGUGCUUGAUUUCCUGUCAUAGCUCUUGUUACUUCUGCCUGCCUCUUGUGACAGCGUUUUAGACUGACUUCCCACAGGAGCUUACAAAUCAAGCAGGUUAAUGUCUUCAUUAAAACUGAAUAACAGUUUACUUUGGGAAAAAAACAUAUUAAAUAUUUCAGGAUAUUGAACACCAAACUACUAUUAAGCUUUAACUAAUGCAUUUACUUUGCUGACACUUGCUCUCCGAUGGGACAUGUAGCUCAAGCUAAUGUCACUAGAAGUGAUGUUUAAGGCUUCAUGAGAAAGUGUUUCCAACCCCUUCUAGACAAUUUUACUCCAAUUCUAUCACUCUGUACUUGAGAAAAAGUUUUAAAUAAGUCAUUUCAGCAACUUGCCAUCCUUAUUUUGGAAAUGUACUGGGCAUAAAUGUCCCCUUUAAGGUCUUAAAUAACCAUUUCUGUGUCCUAGAUCUAUGUGGUACACUGUGUAAAGAAUGUGACGGCCUGUUGGCCUUUGGACACAUAGUGUCCUCAGUAUACUUUGCCCUUGGAAGCAAAAUAGAAAGACUGUCACAAACGGGGCAGGCUGGAGUUCUGUCACCCAUGGCUGUAAACCUUUCUCAAGGUGUGACUGAUGUGGUUAAAACAGACCAGUAGAAUAGAAAUAGAGGCACACAGCCAAUAAGUUAAGGCUUCCCAACUGGCAAGUGGUGGUAUUCUGUGUGGGCUGCUGUUGCUGAAGGUCUGUGUGCUUGUAUCUUUCUCCCUCUGUGCAGAAUCCAUUUGCAGUGACGUCAUGUGAAACACAGACAUCCCAUCAGUAGUAGGAAAGGGGGUUAUACGGGUUUCUAUUGCUCAUUACACUGCAAUUUCUGUUGGUGUAACUUGCUUUAGCAGACUUCUUUUUCUUUUUUUUUUUUCUCUCUCUUUUUUCUCUUUUGGUUUUUAAUAUAUGAUUUUGUUUUGACUCCUUUAUUUGCCAAUCCUGUGGUUUACUUAUCUGUUAUCAUCAGAGCCAUGUCAGACUGAGGUGCGUCAUUCUUUCUGGAUCCAACUGCAGCAGCAUCGGUUCAUGAAGCAAUCUGACAACAUUCUCUGGCAAAUUUAAACCAAUCCCUUUGAAGUUUGUUAAUUUAUAAAAUAAGUAAAUCAACAAAUAAAUCAAAACAAGUUUCAGUUCUGUGCAGAAAUAAUACCGAUGUUCUGGUUUGCUGUCUUCUAUCGCUGGUCUGUGAUAACCUUGGAACUUUCCUGACAUCUCUUUAAGCUCUGUGAACAGGUGAUCUGUGAGUAAAUCUCCCUGAGGAGUUGCAAAUUUUCUUGAAUUAUUUACAUCUACUGUAGGAAUUCUGUCUUGUAUCACAUACUGGGCUGAGUGCAUGGACAAUACAAAC